RNAcentral lists this transfer RNA (72 nucleotides) under Blumeria graminis f. sp. tritici 94202. RNAcentral's name for it is "tRNA-Asp (GTC) (tRNA-Asp-GTC-6-1)". It matches the Rfam family "tRNA". From Rfam's summary of the family: Transfer RNA (tRNA) molecules are approximately 80 nucleotides in length. Their secondary structure includes four short double-helical elements and three loops (D, anti-codon, and T loops). Lineage: Eukaryota; Fungi; Ascomycota; Leotiomycetes; Helotiales; Erysiphaceae. The record is from RNAcentral.
UCUUUGAUGGUCUAACGGUCAUGAUUUCCGCUUGUCACGCGGGAGACCGGAGCUCGACUCCCCGUCAGAGAG